This 22-nucleotide microRNA is filed under the name Chrysemys picta bellii (western painted turtle). RNAcentral describes it as "Cpi-Mir-34-P3a_3p* (star (passenger))". Lineage: Eukaryota; Metazoa; Chordata; Testudines; Emydidae. The record is from RNAcentral.
CAGUUGCUAGCUGCACUCCACA